UACGUAGGGUGCAAGCGUUAAUCGGAAUUACUGGGCGUAAAGCGUGCGCAGGCGGUUAUGCAAGACAGAGGUGAAAUCCCCGGGCUCAACCUGGGAACUGCAUUUGUGACUGCAUCGCUGGAGUGCGGCAGAGGGGGAUGGAAUUCCGCGUGUAGCAGUGAAAUGCGUAGAUAUGCGGAGGAACACCGAUGGCGAAGGCAAUCCCCUGGGCCUGCACUGACGCUCAUGCACGAAAGCGUGGGGAGCAAACAGG
This 253-nucleotide ribosomal RNA is filed under the name uncultured bacterium. RNAcentral's name for it is "partial 16S ribosomal RNA". It matches the Rfam family "Bacterial small subunit ribosomal RNA", at positions 524 to 776 of the family's 1533-position model. The record is from RNAcentral.